CGUGAACAUAGUUUAAACAAAACCCUAGCUUGUGAUUCUAGAAAAGAAGACUAACUCCCUUCUGUUCACC
Molecule: transfer RNA, 70 nt
Filed under: Heleioporus inornatus (whooping frog)
Lineage: Eukaryota; Metazoa; Chordata; Amphibia; Anura; Limnodynastidae
Description: tRNA-His
Source: RNAcentral